UAGAGYUGGAUCAUGGGCUCAKGACGAACGCGGGCGGCGUGCMUAAUACAUGCAAGUCKAGCGAGCAGAACCAGCAGAUUUUACUUYKGUAAUGACGCUGGGGGACGCGAGCGGCGGAUGGGUGAGUAACACGUGGGGAACCUGCCCCAUAGUCURGGAUACCACUUGGAAACAGGUGCUAAUACCGGAUAAUAAAGCAGAUCGCAUGAUCAGYUUAUAAAAGGCGGCGUAAGCUGUCGCUAUGGGAUGGCCCCGCGGUGCAUUAGCUAGUUGGUAAGGUAACGGCUUACCAAGGCAAUGAUGCAUAGCCGAGUUGAGAGACUGAACGGCCACAUUGGGACUGAGACACGGCCCAAACUCCUACGGGAGGCAGCAGUAGGGAAUCUUCCACAAUGGACGCAAGUCUGAUGGAGCAACGCCGCGUGAGUGAAGAAGGUUUUCGGAUCGUAAAGCUCUGUUGUUGGUGAAGAAGGAUAGAGGUAGUAACUGGCCUUUAUUUGACGGUAAUCAACCAGAAAGUCACGGCUAACUACGUGCCAGCAGCCGCGGUAAUACGUAGGUGGCAAGCGUUGUCCGGAUUUAUUGGGCGUAAAGCGAGCGCAGGCGGAAGAAUAAGUCUGAUGUGAAAGCCCUCGGCUUAACCGAGGAAUUGCAUCGGAAACUGUUUUUCUUGAGUGCAGAAGAGGAGAGUGGAACUYCAUGUGUAGCGGUGGAAUGCGUAGAUAUAUGGAAGAACACCAGUGGCGAAGGCGGCUCUCKGUCUGCAACKACGCKAGGYCCGAACGCCCU
Molecule: ribosomal RNA, 789 nt
Filed under: bacterium
Lineage: Bacteria
Description: bacterial SSU rRNA
Source: RNAcentral